UACGAAGGUGGCAAGCGUUAUUCGGAUUUACUGGGCGUACAGGGAGCGUAGGCGGUUCGGUAAGCCCUCUGUGAAAUCUUCAGGCUUAACCUGGAACAGUCGGAGGGGACUGCUGGGCUAGAGGACGGGAGAGGAGCGCGGAAUUCCCGGUGUAGCGGUGAAAUGCGUAGAGAUCGGGAGGAAGGCCGGUGGCGAAGGCGGGUCUCUGGACAGUUCCUGACACUGAGGCACG
RNAcentral lists this ribosomal RNA (232 nucleotides) under uncultured prokaryote. RNAcentral describes it as "partial 16S ribosomal RNA". It matches the Rfam family "Bacterial small subunit ribosomal RNA", at positions 524 to 755 of the family's 1533-position model. The record is from RNAcentral.